CUUGAAACUGAUUCAGUUUCUGCCCAUAUCAGAGUCCUUUCAUGGAGCCAUUCCUAUUCAAAAUAAAGUGCUUUAAGAAAAGCACCGUGGUGGGGUUUAAAGUAAUCCAAAAAGUAUGGGGUGGCUUAGAAUUUUUGUUACAGCUAAAAGGGCCAAAUUCAGGACAGGAGGAGAACAGAAAUUAUGCUUCUCUGUACAUACUAAGCCUUUUUUGACCUAAGGCAUUUAUCCCAAAGAACAGGAGGCUUUACCAUCUCUCACAGGGUUUGCGGUAAGGGUGGUACUUCUCUACUUCCCACCAAGAUUUGCUUCGUUACAAGGUAUCACUCAAAAUUAUUCUGAAUUAACUCUCUCUCUGGGAAUGGUCUCUCUCAUGAUAGCCACAGUCAUUUCUUGAUGUCUAAAAUAUAGUUCUGAAAAUAUUGUCCAUUUAUUACCUCAGUACCAGCAGUUGUAUUCAGAUAUAACUGUCCCUUAAGUCAUGAAAACUGUUUUUUUCUAAUACCAAACCAAACACAGAUGUAGUUGUCAGAAAUGUAGAGUGUUCAUGAAUGGUGUUUAUCCUGUAAGUGACAGCCAGGCAUAUGUUAGAAAAUUAUUUACUUAAAUUACAAGAUUGUCAAGGGGCCAAGCAAGAGCUAUUAAGAAAAAUGCCAUUGUUCUGGGCACCACACACAAAGAGUAGCAGAGGAGACAUCUAGGCUGCAGAACUCAGAAGCUCUUCCAAGUCCUAUCUCUGGGAGCAGGCAGUGGCUGCGUCCUCACUGCCCAGUGGACUCCAGUUUGGGGAGGUCCUCCAGCUGAAAGGUGGGACUGCUCUACAAAACAUCAGGCAUGGACUUCGCAUAGGCCCUAAGAGUGCCACAUUGUGCACUUACUGGCUGAACACAUGGAAAAGUUAUGUGAAUGCUUCACCUGGCAGCCAGCUUGAAACUCCAGCACAAGGAACCACUGUGACUUCAUUUGGACUUCAAAGGGAAAUGCCACAGUUCUGCUGAACAAAUGCUCGAGAGUGCUGAGAGGCAGCAGUGAAGAGGAAACAUUCAGGAUUUAUAAAAACAGGUGCCUGGGGCAGCUAUGGAAAACACAAGUAACAGAGUUCUACAGAGACUACAGGAUAAGGCCUGGAGGAAAAAUGACUCAUUGGCUGGACACAGGACAUCACUUUUCACCUUAUCACUCCUGCUAUUCUUCUGUGCAGGUAUCUAGCCCUGCAUAUAAACCAUCUGCACUCCUUCGUCCACAUGCAAUUAAAAAGAGAUGGAUUAGCUCAGAAAUCUUGCCUAAAAUGCUGAAUGUAUCUUCCUUAAAAUCUUUUUCUUAGUCUAGCUUCCAGGAAUGCUUUCCUCAUUGUCUAUAAGGGAUAUGUUUUUCCUUUCUUCUGUCCUUAACUUCUGAAGAUAUUGGCUGAGAUAUGGUACUCCUUGAAGUUUCAUGAAAACAUGUCAGAUUCUACAGGAUAACCUUUAUUAUACACAAGGGAAUCCAUACAUGAGGACACUGUAUGAUUAAAUCUGCACCGGGACUUGCAUCUCAGCACAGAAGAAUCUAAGGACAAGACAAACUUGUAAGAAAGGAAGCAUACAAAGUUUUUACACCCAGAGAACUGUGUCUUGAAUCUGGAAGCUAGCUGAAGUAGAAGAACUUUGAAGAAAGCAAGCAAAUUAAAGUGUUGAAUAUCAAAAGAACAAAUACAAUGGGAUUUUCAAGAGUUCAGAAUGUUAGAAAAUUCCUAUGAACUGCAGUAAGAUCAAUAGAAUCUGUGUCAAAUAGUUCUGAAACCCCAGCCUAGACUCCUUUGCCCAGCUUGUGUAUUGCAGCUCCUAGAAGUGAAUGAAGAAAAGUUCUUUUCUGUAGAUAUCUCCACCCAUCUUAGUCAUGCAGUAUGAGUAAAGAUAACUAUAGCUAAAAGUAAAUAAGGCCAUCUGAUAAGCCUAUGUAUGACAGGAAUUUUUAAACAUUGGAAUGGUGGCCUCACAAUGUCAAUUUGGAGAGUCUGACUCUGUCUAAC
This 2011-nucleotide long non-coding RNA is filed under the name Gallus gallus (chicken). RNAcentral describes it as "lncRNA (ENSGALG00010001056.1)". Lineage: Eukaryota; Metazoa; Chordata; Aves; Galliformes; Phasianidae. The record is from RNAcentral.